UUACACUUUCUUUUUGUUGGAAUUUUAAAUUCUAUGGAUUUAUUAGGACUAUUUUUGAUUGCUCCUCAGAUCUCUGCAGGGUAAAUUGCGACAUCUAGCUAGACUGUCCAAUCAGAUCUUUCUCUCUC
Molecule: long non-coding RNA, 128 nt
Organism: Etheostoma cragini (Arkansas darter)
Lineage: Eukaryota; Metazoa; Chordata; Actinopteri; Perciformes; Percidae
Exons: 3
Source: RefSeq, a predicted model, not a curated record